Molecule: non-coding RNA, 1653 nt
Organism: Cucurbita pepo subsp. pepo (vegetable marrow)
Lineage: Eukaryota; Viridiplantae; Streptophyta; Magnoliopsida; Cucurbitales; Cucurbitaceae
Source: RefSeq, a predicted model, not a curated record
AUGGCGACGAUGGAGUUGGACACCACGCUACCGGCGGCCACACUUGAAGAGACGUGCUCCGCCAAGCUGGCGGCGAAGCAAGGCGAAGGUCUUAGGCACUAUUAUCUUCAACACAUUCAGGACCUCCAGCUUCAACUCCGCCUGAAAACUCACAAUCUCAAUCGUCUCGAAGCUCAGCGAAACGAGCUCAACUCUAGAGUGAGGUUGCUUCGUGAAGAACUUCAGCUGCUUCAGGAACCUGGAUCGUACGUUGGCGAAGUGGUCAAAGUCAUGGGAAAGAAUAAGGUUUUAGUGAAGGUGCAUCCAGAAGGGAAAUAUGUUGUUGAUAUAGAUAAAAGCAUUGAUAUCACAAAAAUCACCCCAUCAACUAGGGUUGCUCUUCGAAAUGACAGCUAUGUUCUUCAUUUAGUUCUGCCAAGCAAAGUCGAUCCAUUGGUGAAUCUUAUGAAAGUUGAAAAGGUCCCUGAUUCUACUUAUGACAUGAUUGGUGGUCUUGAUCAGCAAAUUAAGGAGAUAAAAGAGGUCAUUGAGCUUCCAAUCAAGCAUCCAGAAUUAUUUGAAAGUCUUGGAAUAGCUCAACCAAAGGGUGUCUUGCUAUAUGGCCCUCCUGGCACUGGGAAAACUCUUUUAGCUCGAGCAGUUGCACAUCAUACUGAUUGUACUUUCAUCAGGGUUUCUGGUUCUGAGUUGGUACAGAAGUACAUUGGAGAGGGUUCUAGAAUGGUUCGAGAACUUUUUGUGAUGGCCAGGGAACAUGCUCCAUCUAUCAUUUUCAUGGAUGAAAUUGACAGUAUCGGGUCGGCUCGUAUGGAAUCUGGGAGUGGUAAUAGUGAUAGUGAGGUGCAGAGAACAAUGCUAGAGCUUCUUAACCAGCUGGAUGGAUUUGAAGCAUCGAACAAGAUCAAGGUUCUGAUGGCCACAAAUCGAAUUGAUAUUCUCGAUCAAGCUCUUUUGAGACCUGGACGAAUAGAUAGAAAAAUUGAGUUCCCAAAUCCUAAUGAGGAGUCACGUUUCGAUAUCUUGAAAAUACACUCAAGAAAAAUGAAUUUAAUGCGGGGGAUUGAUUUGAAGAAGAUUGCUGAGAAGAUGAACGGCGCAUCCGGUGCCGAACUUAAGGCUGUUUGCACAGAAGCUGGAAUGUUUGCUCUAAGGGAAAGAAGGGUUCAUGUGACACAGGAAGAUUUCGAGAUGGCGGUUGCAAAGGUAAUGAAGAAGGAUACAGAUAAGAACAUGUCGCUGCGAAAGCUCUGGAAGUAGUAGAUCGAAGUUACCGUUCUACUCGACCCCAUUUGAGUACCUAUCCCUGUUUGGGAAUCAAAGGACGCGCCAUUGGCUGUGAUAGCAAUUCAAAAGAAUCUUCCCUCCAUAGAUCAGGUUGAAUGCUCGAUUAAGAGAUCAAUGGUUGAAUCUCCAAACCCUCCUUUACUCCCAACUAAGAGAACAUGGGUUGAUCGUCCAAAUCCACUUGCUUUCGAAAUAAGAGAUCUAGUUAAACUUUUGUACAUUCGCUCACUUCUAGUUAAGAUAUUAGAAGUUGAAUCUCCAAACCGAACAAAGAGAUUGAUAGGUGAAUGAUUGUUGGUGAAAAAGCAAAAUAAUAAAUUAUGGUAUGGAUUGCGGCCUCCCAUCUAACUGCAUGAAGAUGAUUGAAUU